GCCUUCUGUCCCAGCUCGCCAGUUCUCACAUGGGACCAGAUGGGAAGGUGCCAUUGGGAGACCCAGCCUUCAUGCCAGAUUCCUGGGCAAUCUGGUCCUGCAUCCCUGCUGUGAGAAGGGGUAGGCUAAGGCUGGAAUCAUCUGGAGGCCUCCAGGAGGAGCCAUAGAAGAUGGCAGGUGUUUCAUGUGGCUGCACUAAGGGCUCUCAUGGCCUGGGUCCAGCCCAACAGGCCCUUUUUUGACCAAUCCUGGGAAAUCAUGUCCACUGCAUUUUAUUGAUUACAGCUAAAAGUACUGAAGGAAGCAUAUGAGCCCCCUGGCUGGUCUCACAUUCAGUUGGCAAAUCCUGGAAGUGGCCUGGCUAUCAUGCAGUAUCUCUUCAUCCUUUCCUAUGGGAAGGACUUCUCUUCCCUUUUCACCAACCUGAGAGGUAAGCAGAACCUCUGUAGGCAAGUUCCUGCAGGCUGCCCUCCUGAGAAGAGGUCAGAAUGAGGGCUGCAUUAAGGCCUCCUUCUGGCAAAAGGGGAAGACAACUUCAGAGGACCAUCUUCCUCCUCAUAAAGGUGUCUCCAUUGGGUCUGGAAUUCAGGCUAUCAUCCCAGGGAAGGGUC
Molecule: long non-coding RNA, 611 nt
Organism: Leopardus geoffroyi (Geoffroy's cat)
Lineage: Eukaryota; Metazoa; Chordata; Mammalia; Carnivora; Felidae
Exons: 3
Source: RefSeq, a predicted model, not a curated record